Molecule: ribosomal RNA, 510 nt
Filed under: uncultured bacterium
Lineage: Bacteria
Description: partial 16S ribosomal RNA
Rfam family: Bacterial small subunit ribosomal RNA
Source: RNAcentral
GACGAACGCUGGCGGCGUGCUUAACACAUGCAAGUCGAACGAAGAGCGAUGGAAGCUUGCUUCUAUCAAUCUUAGUGGCGCACGGGUGAGUAACGCGUAAUCAACCUGCCCUUCAGAGGGGGACAACAGUUGGAAACGACUGCUAAUACCGCAUACGAUCUAAUCUCGGCAUCGAGGAUAGAUGAAAGGUGGCCUCUACAUGUAAGCUAUCACUGAAGGAGGGGAUUGCGUCUGAUUAGCUAGUUGGAGGGGUAACGGCCCACCAAGGCGAUGAUCAGUAGCCGGUCUGAGAGGAUGAACGGCCACAUUGGGACUGAGACACGGCCCAGACGCCUACGGGAGGCAGCAGUGGGGAAUCUUCCGCAAUGGACGAAAGUCUGACGGAGCAACGCCGCGUGAGCGAUGACGGCCUUCGGGUUGUAAAGCUCUGUUAAUCGGGACGAAAGGCCUUCUUGCGAAUAGUGAGAAGGAUUGACGGUACCGGAAUAGAAAGCCACGGCUAACUACGUG